CACGGAGUUAGCCGAUCCUUAUUCUUCCGGUACAUUCAGCACAAUACACGUAUUGUGGUUUAUUCCCGGAUAAAAGCAGUUUACAACCCAUAGGGCAGUCUUCCUGCACGCGGCAUGGCUGGUUCAGAGUUGCCUCCAUUGACCAAUAUUCCUUACUGCUGCCUCCCGUAGGAGUCUGGUCCGUGUCUCAGUACCAGUGUGGGGGGUCAUCCUCUCAGAUCCCCUAGUCAUCGUCGCCUUGGUGGGCCGUUACCCCGCCAACUAGCUAAUGACACGCAUGCCCAUCUCUAUCCCAUUAAUGUUUGAUCAUUGAAUAAUGCCAUUCUGUGAUUUUAUGCGGUAUUAAUCCGGAUUUCUCCGGGCUAUCCCCCAGAUAAAGGUAGGUUGCAUACGCGUUACGCACCCGUGCGCCGGUCUCAAGUAAGCAAGCCUACUCUACCCCUCGACUUGCAUGUAUUAGGCCUGCCGCUAGCGUUCAUCCUGAGCCAGGAU
Molecule: ribosomal RNA, 492 nt
Filed under: uncultured Pedobacter sp.
Lineage: Bacteria; Pseudomonadati; Bacteroidota; Sphingobacteriia; Sphingobacteriales; Sphingobacteriaceae
Description: partial 16S ribosomal RNA
Source: RNAcentral